Molecule: transfer RNA, 93 nt
Filed under: Gammaproteobacteria bacterium
Lineage: Bacteria; Pseudomonadati; Pseudomonadota; Gammaproteobacteria
Description: tRNA-Ser
Rfam family: tRNA
About the family: Transfer RNA (tRNA) molecules are approximately 80 nucleotides in length. Their secondary structure includes four short double-helical elements and three loops (D, anti-codon, and T loops).
Source: RNAcentral
GGAGAGGUGCCGGAGCUGGCCGAACGGGCUUGACUCGAAAUCAAGUGACCCCCUUGCGGGGGUCCGUGGGUUCGAAUCCCACCCUCUCCGCCA